This 305-nucleotide long non-coding RNA is filed under the name Ananas comosus (pineapple). RNAcentral describes it as "long non-coding RNA (ACOM_LNC014465)". The record is from RNAcentral. Lineage: Eukaryota; Viridiplantae; Streptophyta; Magnoliopsida; Poales; Bromeliaceae.
UUUUGUACCGAAAGAAUUAUCAAAUGAACUAAAUUAACCAAAUUGAAAGAUUGAGUUUAAAAUCAAAACUUUAAAAAUAUUGAAUAGCUGAAUCAAAAUAGUCCGAAUUUUAGAUAAUUUUUACACAUUUUUUUCUUUUUUUUUAAUUACAUCUGACAUAUAGGAACCACACCAACAGGCACGGAAUUAAUACCAAGCUCUGAUACUAUAUUACCAAAGAAAUUAAUUUACUAAAAAUAAUCCAAAAUUCGUCUUAACACAAAUUAAUUACCUUAUUAUAUUCCAUAUUUCCAUGUCAUCUAGAA